RNAcentral lists this small nuclear RNA (148 nucleotides) under Chinchilla lanigera (long-tailed chinchilla). RNAcentral describes it as "U1 spliceosomal RNA (ENSCLAG00000020014.1)". It matches the Rfam family "U1 spliceosomal RNA". From Rfam's summary of the family: U1 is a small nuclear RNA (snRNA) component of the spliceosome (involved in pre-mRNA splicing). Its 5' end forms complementary base pairs with the 5' splice junction, thus defining the 5' donor site of an intron. The record is from RNAcentral. Lineage: Eukaryota; Metazoa; Chordata; Mammalia; Rodentia; Chinchillidae.
AUAAUUACUUGUAGAUGGCUCCAAUGUGGUUUUCCCAGGGUGAGGCUUGUCCAUUGUACUCUGGAUGUGCUGACCCUCCACACAUAUGUGAAACUCAACUGCAUGAUUUGUGAUAGUGGGGGACUCCCACUAUUUGUGCUCUCCCCUC